UGCAGUCGAACGAACUCUGGUAUUGAUUGGUGCGUUGCAUCAUGAUUUACAUUUGAGUGAGUGGCGAACUGGUGAGUAACACGUGGGAAACCUGCCCAGAAGCGGGGGAUAACACCUGGAAACAGAUGCUAAUACCGCAUAACAACUUGGACCGCAUGGUCCGAGCUUGAAAGAUGGCUUCGGCUAUCACUUUUGGAUGGUCCCGCGGCGUAUUAGCUAGAUGGUGGGGUAACGGCUCACCAUGGCAAUGAUACGUAGCCGACCUGAGAGGGUAAUCGGCCACAUUGGGACUGAGACACGGCCCAAACUCCUACGGGAGGCAGCAGUAGGGAAUCUUCCACAAUGGACGAAAGUCUGAUGGAGCAACGCCGCGUGAGUGAAGAAGGGUUUCGGCUCGUAAAACUCUGUUGUUAAAGAAGAACAUAUCUGAGAGUAACUGUUCAGGUAUUGACGGUAUUUAACCAGAAAGCCACGGCUAACUACGUGCCAGCAGCCGCGGUAAUACGUAGGUGGCAAGCGUUGUCCGGAUUUAUUGGGCGUAAAGCGAGCGCAGGCGGUUUUUUAAGUCUGAUGUGAAAGCCUUCGGCUCAACCGAAGAAGUGCAUCGGAAACUGGGAAACUUGAGUGCAGAAGAGGA
Molecule: ribosomal RNA, 637 nt
Filed under: Lactiplantibacillus plantarum
Lineage: Bacteria; Bacillati; Bacillota; Bacilli; Lactobacillales; Lactobacillaceae
Description: bacterial SSU rRNA
Rfam family: Bacterial small subunit ribosomal RNA
Source: RNAcentral